Molecule: ribosomal RNA, 325 nt
Filed under: Allapsidae sp.
Lineage: Eukaryota; Cercozoa; Glissomonadida; Viridiraptoridae
Description: SSU rRNA
Rfam family: Eukaryotic small subunit ribosomal RNA (bases 113-325)
Source: RNAcentral
GAUUUCUGGCACGAUGCGCCUGGCCCGCCACGGUUACGUGUGUGAGUGCCGGGUCGGAUCUGCCAUCCUUCCAGAGAGUGGUCCUACCCUUCACUGGGCCGGGGCCGCACCCUCUGGAUCGUUUACUUUGAAAAAAUUAGAGUGUUUCAAGCAGGCGUCUCGCUGUGAAUACAUUAGCAUGGAAUAAUAACUUAGGACUUCGGUUCUAUUUUGUUGGUUUCUAGGACUGAAGUAAUGAUUGAUAGGGAUAGUUGGGGGUGCUAGUAUUCAGUGGCCAGAGGUGAAAUUCUCGGAUUCACUGAAGACUAACUUAUGCGAAAGCAUU